GAGGAAAGUCCGGACUCCUUAUAGAAGUUGAUUGUUGAAGAAAUUUCAAUAUAAGUGAUUAUGAGGAUAGUGCCACAGAAAAAUACCGCCUUGUUAUUUUUAUGAUGUCAAGGUAAGGGUGCAAAGGUGUAUUAAGAGUGCACCAGUAGUAUUGUUGAAAUACUUGCUAGGUAAACCCCAUCGAGGAGCAAAGAUGUAAUGUGAUAAGUUUCUAUAAAUCCAAACACAAUGGUUUACUUAUAAGUAAAUACUGCAUGAAGUAGCAUAUAUGAAUACACUACUUUAGAUUAAUAACUACCCUUUCACUAUGUAAAUGUGGAAGAACUAAAUCCGGCUUAU
This 339-nucleotide RNase P RNA is filed under the name Titanophycus setchellii. RNAcentral's name for it is "Ribonuclease P RNA". It matches the Rfam family "Bacterial RNase P class A", at positions 43 to 352 of the family's 367-position model. Rfam says of the family: Ribonuclease P (RNase P) is a ubiquitous endoribonuclease, found in archaea, bacteria and eukarya as well as chloroplasts and mitochondria. Its best characterised activity is the generation of mature 5'-ends of tRNAs by cleaving the 5'-leader elements of precursor-tRNAs. Cellular RNase Ps are ribonucleoproteins. The record is from RNAcentral. Lineage: Eukaryota; Rhodophyta; Florideophyceae; Nemaliales; Liagoraceae.